AGAGUUUUGAUCCUGGCUCAGAUCUGAACGCUUGGCGGCAUGCCUUACACAUCGCAAGUCGAACGGCAGCACGGGAGCAAUCCUGGUGGCGAGUGGCGAACGGGUGAGUAAUACAUCGGAACGUGCCCUGUCGUGGGGGAUAACUAGUCGAAAGAUUAGCUAAUACCGCAUACGACCUGAGGGUGAAAGCGGGGGACCGUAAGGCCUCGCGCGAUAGGAGCGGCCGAUGUCUGAUUAGCUAGUUGGUGGGGUAAAGGCCCACCAAGGCGACGAUCAGUAGCUGGUCUGAGAGGACGAUCAGCCACACUGGGACUGAGACACGGCCCAGACUCCUACGGGAGGCAGCAGUGGGGAAUUUUGGACAUUUGGGGCAACCCUGAUCCAGCAAUGCCGCGUGUGUGAAGAAGGCCUUCGGGUUGUAAAGCACUUUUGUCCGGAAAGAAAUCCCUUGCCCUAAUACGGCGGGGGGAUGACGGUACCGGAAGAAUAAGCACCGGCUAACUACGUGCCAGCAGCCGCGGUAAUACGUAGGGUACGAGCGUUAAUCGGAAUUACUGGGCGUAAAGCGUGCGCAGGCGGUUUUGUAAGACAGGCGUGAAAUCCCCGAGCUCAACUUGGGAAUGGCGCUUGUGACUGCAAGGCUAGAGUAUGUCAGAGGGGGGUAGAAUUCCACGUGUAGCAGUGAAAUGCGUAGAGAUGUGGAGGA
RNAcentral lists this ribosomal RNA (706 nucleotides) under uncultured bacterium. RNAcentral's name for it is "bacterial SSU rRNA". It matches the Rfam family "Bacterial small subunit ribosomal RNA", at positions 8 to 705 of the family's 1533-position model. The record is from RNAcentral.